CCUACGUGAGGCAGCAGUAGGGAAUAUUGGACAAUGGGCGCAAGCCUGAUCCAGCAACGCCGCGUGAAUGAAGAAGGCUUUCGGCUUGUACACUUCUCUUGAGAGGGACGAGCGUAAGAGGUUGUCUCUUGAAUAAUCCACGGCUAACUACGUGCCAGAAUCCGCGGUAAUACGUAGGUGGCAAGCGUUGUCCGGAUUUACUGGCUGUAGAGGGCGUGCAGUCGGGAACACAAGUCAGAUGUGAAAUCCCGCGGCUCAACCGCGGAACUGCAUUUGAAACUGGUUUUCUUGAGUACAGGAGAGGUCAGCGGAACUCCUGGUGUAGCGGUGAAAUGCGUAGAUAUAAGGAAGAACACCAGUGGCGAAGGCGGAUGACUGGACGGCAACUGACGGUGAGGCGCGAAAGCGUGGGGAGCAAACAGGAUUAGAUACCCUAGUAGUC
This 442-nucleotide ribosomal RNA is filed under the name uncultured bacterium. RNAcentral describes it as "partial 16S ribosomal RNA". It matches the Rfam family "Bacterial small subunit ribosomal RNA", at positions 338 to 795 of the family's 1533-position model. The record is from RNAcentral.